UCAUUCUGUAAGGACAGGCAGCCAGUCCGAUCACAGAGAAAUGGGAAUUUAACUCUUUCAGCGAGAAGACACCCAACUGUCGGUUUUCGAGCUGCCGGAGUCGGAAUUUCAGAGGGCGGCUCUUCCCGGAUUUGAAAGCCGCACGGGCGUGCUGCACGAUUUCGCUGAUUUUACUCAUGGCGCCUGGGGAAUCAUGGGGAGAGCCACAGCCCCUGUGAACAUCAUGGCAAGGACCACAGGAGGACCUGAGUCUGCCUCGGCUCAAUUUACGAGUGCUAAUCUAAAACUCCAUUUCGGAAAAUUAACCUGACGGAAAAUGAAUUACCUUCAAUACAGCUUCUCCCUGGCUCUGC
Long non-coding RNA from Ornithorhynchus anatinus (platypus), 353 nucleotides. RefSeq lists it as uncharacterized. NCBI's taxonomy places the organism in Eukaryota, Metazoa, Chordata, Mammalia, Monotremata, Ornithorhynchidae. The transcript has 3 exons. The record is from RefSeq and is a predicted model, not a curated record.